This 470-nucleotide ribosomal RNA is filed under the name uncultured Bacillus sp. RNAcentral's name for it is "bacterial SSU rRNA". It matches the Rfam family "Bacterial small subunit ribosomal RNA", at positions 916 to 1381 of the family's 1533-position model. Lineage: Bacteria; Bacillati; Bacillota; Bacilli; Caryophanales; Bacillaceae. The record is from RNAcentral.
GACGGGGCCCGCACAAGCGGUGGAGCAUGUGGUUUAAUUCGAAGCAACGCGAAGAACCUUACCAGGCCUUGACAUGCAGAGAACUUUCCAGAGAUGGAUUGGUGCCUUCGGGAACUCUGACACAGGUGCUGCAUGGCUGUCGUCAGCUCGUGUCGAGAGAUGUUGGGUUAAGUCCCGUAACGAGCGCAACCCUUGUCCUUAGUUACCGGCACGUUAUGGUGGGCACUCUAAGGAGACUGCCGGUGACAAACCGGAGGAAGGUGGGGAUGACGUCAAGUCCUCAUGGCCUUUAUGACCAGGGCUACACACGUACUACAAUGGCCGAUACAAAGGGCAGCGACACUGCGAGGUGAAGCCAAUCCCGUAAAAUCGGUCUCAGUCCGGAUUGGAGUCUGCAACUCGACUCCAUGAAGUUGGAAUCGCUAGUAAUCGUGGAUCAGCAUGCCACGGUGAAUACGUUCCCGGGCCUU